This 254-nucleotide ribosomal RNA is filed under the name uncultured bacterium. RNAcentral describes it as "partial 16S ribosomal RNA". It matches the Rfam family "Bacterial small subunit ribosomal RNA", at positions 524 to 776 of the family's 1533-position model. The record is from RNAcentral.
UACGGGGGGAGCAAGCGUUGUUCGGAUUUACUGGGCGUAAAGGGCGCGUAGGCGGCCACCGCAAGUCGACUGUGAAAUCUCCGGGCUUAACCCGGAACGGUCAGCCGAUACUGCGGGGCUAGAGUGCAGAAGGGGCAACUGGAAUUCUCGGUGUAGCGGUGAAAUGCGUAGAUAUCAAGAGGAACACCUGCGGCGAAGGCGGGUUGCUGGGCUGACACUGACGCUGAUGCGCGAAAGCUAGGGGAGCGAACGGG